GAUCCUGGCUCAGGAUGAACGCUGGCGGCGUGCUUAACACAUGCAAGUCGAACGAAGCACUUUAUUUGAUUUCCUUCGGGACUGAUUAUUUUGUGACUGAGUGGCGGACGGGUGAGUAACGCGUGGGUAACCUGCCUUGUACUAGGGGGAUAACAGUUGGAAACGGCUGCUAAUACCGCAUAAGCGCACAGCAUCGCAUGAUGCAGUGUGAAAAAUUCCGGUGGUAUAAGAUGGACCCGCGG
RNAcentral lists this ribosomal RNA (242 nucleotides) under uncultured bacterium. RNAcentral's name for it is "partial 16S ribosomal RNA". It matches the Rfam family "Bacterial small subunit ribosomal RNA", at positions 15 to 236 of the family's 1533-position model. The record is from RNAcentral.